GCGUGUUUCUGUUUUGUUAUGCCAAAUGAGAAAGCUGUCAGGGAGACUCUCAUUUAAAUCUAAUCUGACGGUCCUCCUGGUCUUUGUACGCUACCACUGCCUAGCAAUGCAGCCAGCCACAGUGCAGCUACCUCAACUUCGACAUCAGGUAGUUGAAAUGAAAUUUAAUUUAAUAAGGAGCAAGUAACUGUCAAUGAUGGUACUAUCAUCCUAGAUGAAAUUACAAAGUUGCCCUUUUAUAAUUAGCAAGAUUUGGCGAUACUAUGAAUUUUGAAGUCAUUUUGAAGCAGUACAGCUUUUCCACUGAUGAUUUUAUACUCCCCACUCAUGUUAAGAAUGUUGUUCUAGUUUUCGUUAAACGUAGAAACAAUAAUGUCAAAUGAUAAUGUCUUAGAACUUGAAUCCAUGAGCAGAGUCAAAGGCUGGAACCCUUGUUUUGGACCUGAUUUAUGGAAGUGAAGAGUUGGACCACCAUAGCAUGCAUUAUAGCUACUGGUUUUGUGACAGUUGUCCACAACACGUAUUUGUUAUUUUAAAAAAAAAAAUCAUGUUUUAUUACUGGAACAAAAAUAACUUGAGUAUUUAUGUGAGAGGAAAACCGUGUGCGAACUUGGUUGACUCAUUGAAGGCAAGGUGCUAAAAUCCAUCAGCAUUUGUUUCUUACUUAUCCUUAUACAAAUCAGCUCGGUCUUACAGACCAGCAAAAUAUCUCAAGAGCUGUUAUGUAACAGCCUCAAAUGGUUGAUUAUUAGAAUGAAGUACAGGAAUUCUAUAGGAAUAUACUAUAAUACCAGUUGUCAAACAGAGCUUAAGAAAAGGAGAGAUGAAAUCUACUGUAGUUGGAGAGAAUGUGGUUUGAGCCAGAGCAGAGACUUGGCAGAGCCAUGGGCACAUCUUCAGAAAAGGCCUGCCAGCUGGACUCCCCACCCCUCACCCCACCCCCCUUGUGAGUUCUGGUUUGUGUGGAUGAUGUCCAAGUUACCACGUGGGAAAGUGAACCAGAUCACAAACUUCUGCAAAAAGGCUUUCCCAGAGGGCUGAGAGUCUGAAGAAAGUUCACUGGACUCCAUGUCCAGAGUCUGUAGCAUGCUGACUUUUCUGUUGACGUUU
This 1110-nucleotide long non-coding RNA is filed under the name Mus musculus (house mouse). RNAcentral describes it as "long non-coding RNA chr8:46638172-46639282". Lineage: Eukaryota; Metazoa; Chordata; Mammalia; Rodentia; Muridae. The record is from RNAcentral.